Molecule: ribosomal RNA, 253 nt
Filed under: uncultured bacterium
Lineage: Bacteria
Description: partial 16S ribosomal RNA
Rfam family: Bacterial small subunit ribosomal RNA
Source: RNAcentral
UACAGAGGGUGCGAGCGUUAAUCGGAAUUACUGGGCGUAAAGGGCUCGUAGGCGGCCAACUAAGUCAUACGUGAAAUCCCUCGGCUUAACCGGGGAACUGCGUCUGAUACUGGAUGGCUUGAGAUUGGGAGAGGGAUGCGGAAUUCCAGGUGUAGCGGUGAAAUGCGUAGAUAUCUGGAGGAACACCGGUGGCGAAGGCGGCAUCCUGGACCAACACUGACGCUGAGGAGCGAAAGCCAGGGGAGCAAACGGG